GGUGUAACCGGAUUCCUUUGAUUUCUUAAGUUCAAGCGGGUCGCGUAAGGUUCCCUUAACAUUAACGCGGGCCGCGAGAGGUUAAAAAGGUGGCGCAGCCCGGUGCGGCCACGUGGCCCAACACCCGGCUAAGCUAGUUGUCGACUCAGCACAGCUACGUGUUGACCCAGCUUUGACGCAGGCCGCGUAAGCUUUGUGCUUAUAUUACGCGGGCCGCGAGAGACCCCGAUUCAGGCACUAUAUAAAGGAGGCAUCGGCUGUCCAUUUCAAUUCGUUCAUUCUUCGAUUCUUUCUCUCAAAUUCUGAUAUAGGCUUUAUUAAGCGGGUAUUAUACCCCCCUAAUUAGCGAAGCUCUGCCUCGCUGUAAGUAUCAUAACCCCUGGAUACGUAUUAGAUACUCUGCCCGAUUGAUCUAGGGUUCCGUAACGGCUGUCGUGGUUCUGCCCGACGUAGUCGUUGGAAUGCCGUCUCGGGGAUGAUUAUAACCAGGGAAUUACAAAGGAAAGCCCUAUAAUAGCAAAGUAACUUAGUGUGAAGCCAAUAAAAGCCAGCUGGAGAGCACUGAAG
This 567-nucleotide long non-coding RNA is filed under the name Helianthus annuus (common sunflower). Its description in RNAcentral is "sRNA HanXRQr2_Chr16g0752591". The record is from RNAcentral. Lineage: Eukaryota; Viridiplantae; Streptophyta; Magnoliopsida; Asterales; Asteraceae.